RNAcentral lists this non-coding RNA (26 nucleotides) under Homo sapiens (human). The record is from RNAcentral. Lineage: Eukaryota; Metazoa; Chordata; Mammalia; Primates; Hominidae.
UACAUUCCCCUUGUAUGCGCUGUGUC